RNAcentral lists this transfer RNA (98 nucleotides) under Polyporus arcularius HHB13444. RNAcentral describes it as "tRNA-Pro". It matches the Rfam family "tRNA". From Rfam's summary of the family: Transfer RNA (tRNA) molecules are approximately 80 nucleotides in length. Their secondary structure includes four short double-helical elements and three loops (D, anti-codon, and T loops). Lineage: Eukaryota; Fungi; Basidiomycota; Agaricomycetes; Polyporales; Polyporaceae. The record is from RNAcentral.
GGCCCAAUGGUCUAGUAGUAUGAUUCGCGCUUCGGGAGUUUCCCGGUCUUACGACCACAAGAUGCGCGAGGUCCCGGGUUCAAUUCCCGGUUGGGCCC